This 87-nucleotide transfer RNA is filed under the name Hydrogenophaga pseudoflava. RNAcentral's name for it is "tRNA-Val". The record is from RNAcentral. Lineage: Bacteria; Pseudomonadati; Pseudomonadota; Betaproteobacteria; Burkholderiales; Comamonadaceae.
GAACCGCCGGUCGGUGGUCAUGACGUUGGCCUCACGCGCCAACAGCAGGGACAGCGGGUCCAGAUUGGUCGAGCCGACCGUGGCCCA